CUUGUCCCGGGAGACGCGGUCCGACAGCGAGGCCGAAUCGGUGAAGCUGGGCCUCACACCCCGCCAGCCCCGGGCUGAGUUCCCUGCUGACCCUGGCGGAGGCCCCUUAAAUGGCACGCGGUUCUGGAAAUACACUCUCAAGACUCCAGUUUGUUCUUCCAGCUCACGCCAACGGCUAAGGUCCAACUGAUUUCUCUUCAUCUCUAAAAAGUUACUGGACCAUGGCAGGCCAACACUUCCCUCAGUGGAUGGGCAGAGCUCACUGCCGGAAAAUGCAAAAACCUCCAAGGAACAUUGAAGAAUUCUUAAAGUUUCAAAAUUGG
RNAcentral lists this long non-coding RNA (323 nucleotides) under Ursus americanus (American black bear). RNAcentral's name for it is "lncRNA (ENSUAMG00000012351.1)". The record is from RNAcentral. Lineage: Eukaryota; Metazoa; Chordata; Mammalia; Carnivora; Ursidae.